AGGGAUCAUUACCGAGUUCAUGCCCUCACGGGUAGAUCUCCCACCCUAUGUUAUCAUUACCUUUGUUGCUUUGGCGGGCCGCCAGGCUUUGGUCAGGCUACCGGCUCCGGCUGGUAAGCGCCCGCCAGAGGACCCCAAACUCUGAAUGUUAGUGUCGUCUGAGUACUAUCUAAUAGUUAAAACUUUCAACAACGGAUCUCUUGGUUCUGGCAUCGAUGAAGAACGCAGCGAAAUGCGAUAAGUAAUGUGAAUUGCAGAAUUCAGUGAAUCAUCGAAUCUUUGAACGCACAUUGCGCCCCUUGGUAUUCCGAGGGGCAUGCCUGUUCGAGCGUCAUUACAACCCUCAAGCACUGCUUGGUAUUGGGCUCCGCUGCUAACCCAGCGGGCCUUAAAAUCAGUGGCGGCGCCCUCAGGCUCUGAGCGUAGUAAAUCUCCUCGCUAUAGAGUCCUGGUGGUGGUAGUCAUCAACCCCCAACUUUCUAAGUUUGACCUCGGAUCAGGUAGGGAUACCCGCUGAACUUAA
RNAcentral lists this ribosomal RNA (523 nucleotides) under Epacris pulchella root associated fungus EP49. Its description in RNAcentral is "eukaryotic LSU rRNA". The stretch from base 181 to 334 matches the Rfam family "5.8S ribosomal RNA". The record is from RNAcentral. Lineage: Eukaryota; Fungi.